RNAcentral lists this ribosomal RNA (464 nucleotides) under uncultured bacterium. RNAcentral's name for it is "partial 16S ribosomal RNA". It matches the Rfam family "Bacterial small subunit ribosomal RNA", at positions 339 to 795 of the family's 1533-position model. The record is from RNAcentral.
CUACGGGACGCUGCAGUGGGGAAUAUUGGACAAUGGGGGCAACCCUGAUCCAGCCAUGCCGCGUGUGUGAAGAAGGCCUUAGGGUUGUAAAGCACUUUCAGAUGUGAGGAAAGGUGUGUGCUUAAUACGUACAUACUGUGACGUUAGCAUCAGAAGAAGGACCGGCUAACUCCGUGCCAGCAGCCGCGGUAAUACGGAGGGUCCGAGCGUUAAUCGGAAUUACUGGGCGUAAAGCGCGCGUAGGUGGUUUCGUCAGUCAGAUGUGAAAGCCCCGGGCUCAACCUGGGAAUUGCACCUGAUACUGCGGAACUAGAGUACGAUAGAGGGGAGUGGAAUUUCCGGUGUAGCGGUGAAAUGCGUAGAGAUCGGAAGGAACACCAGUGGCGAAGGCGACUCCCUGGAUUGAUACUGACACUGAGGUGCGAAAGCGUGGGGAGCAAACAGGAUUAGAUACCCCGGUAGUC